UAUUCUCAGUUUUGCAUGUCCCUC
This 24-nucleotide non-coding RNA is filed under the name Rattus norvegicus (Norway rat). The record is from RNAcentral. Lineage: Eukaryota; Metazoa; Chordata; Mammalia; Rodentia; Muridae.